This 30-nucleotide non-coding RNA is filed under the name Rattus norvegicus (Norway rat). Lineage: Eukaryota; Metazoa; Chordata; Mammalia; Rodentia; Muridae. The record is from RNAcentral.
UUCAACACUGUAUUUAAGGAGGCCAGACCC